GUGUUCAGGCAUGAACCUGGGGAUGCUCGUCUGCUCGAAGUCCAACUCCGAUUCUGGCUUUGGAUUUGUCCCAUAGAGGGUGAAAGGCCCGUUCGAGCAGACAUAGUGGAUAUUGAGCAGCCCUCAGAUGUUCGUGCUUUCGAGUCGGAUUGCUUGAGAAUGCAGUCCAAAGCGGGUGGUAAACUCCAUCCAAGGCUAAAUACUGGCACGAGUCCGAUAGUAGACAAGUACCGUGAGGGAAAGUUGAAAAGUACUCUGAAGAGAGAGUAAAUAGUACGUGAAACCGAUUGUAUGGAAGCUGGUGGAGUCAAGCUUCUUGCUUUGGCUAUUGUCGUGGCUAUCACUUUGUUCUUGGGCUAUGGACAUUAUGGCUUGGAAAUAGCUGGUCGGUUCGCCGACUCGGUCAUUCCGGGCAGUGUGAUUGAUUGUGUCCUAUCGUCCGGUAGCUGCGUAUCUGUCAUUGCAAACAUCAAAAUCAAUGCGUUUGUGGUGUUCGGCCGUCUAACCACGUUAUAGAGGACCUCGUGUUCGCUGAGCGUGGGAAGGCAGGUGGUGGCAGUGAGACCUCGGUCGCGUUGUCACGUAUUAAUGAUUUCGAUCUGCUGAUUGCCGAGCAUUUACGACUAUCAAGUGCAUUGUUCUCAUGUUGACUGUCGCCCUCGGGUUGCAGUUGCAAGAAUUUUGAUGUCGAGGUAGACUUUCCACCCGACCCGUCUUGAAACACGGACCAAGGAGUUUAACAUGUGCGCGAGUCAAUGGGCUCUUACGAAACCCAGUGGCGAAAUGAAAGUGAAAGGUUACUUCUCGUAACUGAAGGUGUGACUCCUGCCAGUCCUGAACUGGGCUGUGGGAUGCAACACCGGCCCGUCUCGUAAUGUAGUCGUCCUGACCACGGUUGGGACGCGUCAUUGAGGCGGAGCAAGAGCGUACAUGUUGAGACC
Molecule: ribosomal RNA, 941 nt
Filed under: Bychowskyella sp. n. 1 LW-2018
Lineage: Eukaryota; Metazoa; Platyhelminthes; Monogenea; Dactylogyridea; Ancylodiscoididae
Description: eukaryotic LSU rRNA
Rfam family: Eukaryotic large subunit ribosomal RNA
Source: RNAcentral